UAGGGAAUAUUGGUCAAUGGACGCAAGUCUGAACCAGCCAUGCCGCGUGAAGGAUGAAGGCCCUAUGGGUCGUAAACUUCUUUUAUUAGGGAAGAAAAAACGGGAUGCGUCCUGUACUGACGGUACUUAAUGAAUAAGGAUCGGCUAACUUCGUGCCAGCAGCCGCGGUAAGACGAAGGAUCCAAGCGUUGUCCGGAUUUACUGGGUUUAAAGGGUGCGUAGGCGGAAAAUUAAGUCAGUGGUGAAAGCCCGCAGCUCAACUGUGGAACUGCCAUUGAAACUGGUUUUCUUGAAUGUAGCUGAGGCAGAUGGAAUAUAACAUGUAGCGGUGAAAUGCUUAGAUAUGUUAUAGAACACCGAUUGCGAAGGCAGUCUGCUAAACUAUUAUUGACGCUGAGGC
Molecule: ribosomal RNA, 400 nt
Filed under: uncultured bacterium
Lineage: Bacteria
Description: bacterial SSU rRNA
Rfam family: Bacterial small subunit ribosomal RNA
Source: RNAcentral